This 497-nucleotide ribosomal RNA is filed under the name uncultured bacterium. RNAcentral describes it as "partial 16S ribosomal RNA". It matches the Rfam family "Bacterial small subunit ribosomal RNA", at positions 28 to 507 of the family's 1533-position model. The record is from RNAcentral.
GAUGAACGCUGGCGGCGUGCCUAAUACAUGCAAGUCGAGCGAACGGACGCGAAGCUUGCUUCUCUGAUGUUAGCGGCGGACGGGUGAGUAACACGUGGAUAACCUACCUAUAAGACUGGGAUAACUUCGGGAAACCGGAGCUAAUACCGGAUAAUAUUUUGAACCGCAUGGUUCAAAAGUGAAAGACGGUCUUGCUGUCACUUAUAGAUGGAUCCGCGCUGCAUUAGCUAGUUGGUAAGGUAACGGCUUACCAAGGCAACGAGGCAUAGCCGACCUGAGAGGGUGAUAGGCCACACUGGAACUUAGACACGGUCCAGACGCCUGCGGGAGGGCGCAGUAGGGAAUCUUCCGCAAUGGGCGAAAGCCUGACGGAGCAACGCCGCGUGAGUGAUGAAGGUCUUCGGAUCGUAAAACUCUGUUAUUAGGGAAGAACAUAUGUGUAAGUAACUGUGCACAUCUUGACGGUACCUAAUCAGAAAGCCACGGCUAACUACGUG